Non-coding RNA from Meleagris gallopavo (turkey), 7010 nucleotides. NCBI's taxonomy places the organism in Eukaryota, Metazoa, Chordata, Aves, Galliformes, Phasianidae. The record is from RefSeq and is a predicted model, not a curated record.
GGCGGUGGGGAGGGCCUUCGGGGCAGCUCCCGGCCGGUGGGGGCGCUCUUCGCUCCGGUCAUGAUGGCGGGCGCCUGCACCGCUGGUCUGGAAGUUAGCUGUGUUCUGUGGCCGCUGAGGAAACCUAGGCUGAGGCUGCCGGCGUCACGGUGCCUUUUUCUCCCGUUCCUUUCCUGUGAACCCCUCGCACCGUGUUUUAGUGUGUAGGGCACUGACUCGUAAUGGUACCUGGCUCUAUGAACUGAAGUGCUGGCAAAAGGCCGCUUUUGCUGUGCGGUGCUCAGGGUACGAUGCUUCUAGGCUUCAGGUCCUUUGGGUUGGGAUAAGUAUGAGGAGUAACUCACGAUUCUCUUGGUGAAGAAUUGCAAAAGUUGUUGACAGAAGGUCACAUCAAGUGAAGAUGCAAGGGCAUUUCAAUCACGUUAGAUCUAAUGUUAUUUUAUACUAAAAUAGAUCAUUAUUUCCUUUUGUUUCAGGUGCAUACAAUUAUUUACCCAUUCAUCUGGGGGGGUUUUGGAGGGAAAGCUUUAAUGUGUCAUGGCUUUAAAGUUCCCUUAAAGAUUACAUUUAAUAUUGUAAUAGCAUUUGUUUGCUUGCUUUUUGAUUUUCUCUUGAUCCUAAGAUGCCUCAUCUCUGCAAAUAAAAUUGGCAUAUUUCCACGUUGCUCUGGACCAUGACUCCUGAGAAAACAGUGCUGAUUACAGGUGUUUUUUUGCUGCUUUCUACACAAGACAAAUAUAGUGUGUCACUGACUGCAGGGGAUCUUCUGGUGUAACAAAGUUGGCAGCUCAUCUGUUCUGGAGAGCUUCAGGAAAUCUAGCUGUGCUGGUGUGCUUACACUGGUAGACUUUUCUGCGAAGGGCAAGACAAGAUAAAUGGGAGAAGCAGUCACAGAGAACCAUGAAAGAAAGAACAAAGGGAUGCUGAAGAGGAAGGACACUCAAUAACUGAUUGAAAGAGGUCCAGUAAAUCAUGUAUUCACAACAGUUCUUUCAGCGCAGUGCAGAGAAAAAGAGUGCAUGACAUGAGGGUCAGGAGGGGCAUAUUUGUCCCAUGGACAGAGAGAAAAAGGCAGUUAUCUGUGCAGAGGGAGAAAGAUCUGAGCAAAAGUGGUACAUUUGUGAAUAAGAAAGUUUGAAUAAGGAAGUCCAAAAAUGACAAGUAAAUGUUGUCAUUUUGAACAAUGAAUGCUGGUCAGUGAAUGGAAGCAGGAGUGAUUUCAUCUUUGUCCCUAAUUGACUCAAUGUGGAUAGACAAUGAGAAAUUCAGAGGAAACCUUAAAAUGUAGAUUUGGCCAAAAAAAAAUUAUUUUUGAAGGAAUAGAAUACUAUGGUAAUAUAUUGCUGAAAGGGGGCAGUGCAUUGGAGGAAACUCCUUUAAUGUGAUUUUUAUGUCCCACAUCAACUCCACAGCAAUGCAUGAAGUGACAGGAGGGUACAUCAGAAAUAAGGUUCAGCUACUAGAGGCAAAAGGACUGGUGUAAAAACAGGAAGGAAAGAAUAUGGUGGAGUUGUUGAGAAGCAUAAUGAGCUGUUCUCAGGAGCACUGAUGUGAGAGAAGGAGCCUGAUCGUGGUGAGCACCUGCUUACUGCAGCAAACCACAUCCAAGAAAAGUAGAAAAAUUAAAAUAGGAAAACGUGGCAAAAGGAGUACUGAAUGCCAGACGUGAAGGAAAGCCGAAGGUAGAGACUCAGUAGUCUGAAUGGUGCUGCUUUUUGUGCCUGUAAAGAAACUAAAGUUUUAGUAGAGUCCUCUGAUGUAGCAAGGAAUGGCCAUUAAAGACUUCUGUAACAUAUUUUUCAGUAGUAAAAUUGCAUGUUCAGUCAACCUCAUGGUGAAGAAGUACACGUGAAGAAUAAACAUUAAUUAAAGAAAUAUCUUUUUCCCUUCUAUAAAAGGAGAUGCUGAAAUAUCCAUGGGUAUGAUUGAGAGUAUUCUGAGUAAAAGGAACAAAUAAAGAGAACAAAUGUGAAAGCUAAGACACAAGGACUUCUGUGAAGGCUGUCAGCAUGAAUCCUUCAAAACUUGGAAGCACAAGCAUUUCAGGUGGACAAAAACAUAGCUAAUGUAAUCUGGGAGAUGCAGCAGAAAAGGUCAACCAGGGGAGCAGUACUGAAACUUGAAGUAAAUCAGAGAGGAAGAAAAGAGAAAGGAAUCACUAUGAGAGAACUGGUGGCCAGGGGGAGUCAUUGUCACAGGCAGACAGUCAUCAUAGGGUUUUGUAAUCUUAUUCUCUGUAAAUGGCCUUCUCUGUUACAUGAAUUGAGCAAGAUUUCGGGGGAAGGAGACUGAGGAACAGACUUUCCAAACUACACUGGGACUGACACUUACACUCUCUAGCAAGUAACUGAGAAACAGAUCACCUAGUGCUGGCUGCCGGCGUACCCCAGCUGAGCUGUGAGCUCACCCACGGCCUGGAGCACAGAACUCAUCCCGCAGCGCUGGUGCAAUGCAGUGCUGAGGCCUGUGUGACUCAGGAGGGAUGGCUCUUCCUAAAUCUUGGUGUUCCAUAUGUUUUCGGUAUUCCAGUGACUCCAGACAGUAUAAGGUAGCUGAAAAAUACAGAACAGAAUAUAAAUUUGCAGUUGUAUGUGAUAUAAUUUCCAAAAAUAUCUUCAGUAUAAUACAUUAUAGUUAUUAUUCAAGUGAGUUACAUCAAAAUCAUGUUUUCUUUCCUUAAAGAGGAAUGAAUUUGAUAUUUUAGAGGUAUGUUUAUAUUAGGUCUCAUUAGCUGUUCUUUAUUGCUUGAACUUUUUGAUGCUGUUUCUGUGAUUUGUGUACUUUCAUUUGAGGGAGAGCAAAUAUUUAUAAGAGUGAUGAGUAUAACAAAUAUAUUGGAGCUGGAGCUAUAGCAGCAGGAUCCUUCUAGCAUGAUUUGCAGUUGAAAAUAAUUACUGAGUGCUGCUGCAGAAACGCUGUUCACUGGUGAAAGAGGCAUAAGCAAAAUUAUACUGGAAAGAAAAUAACAGUAAUUCCAGAGUUUUGGGGUGAAAUAAAAUAUGAUAAAGGUAGUAAAUAUUUUAUUAUCCAUUUGUUUUGGCGUUUUGCCACUUAUCCAAGAGAUUACUCUGUUAGUGUUAGGAUUUACAAAGCACCCACUGACUGAAGAUGAUAAAUAUUUUCCCAGAUUUAAAUUUUUUGCUGGAAUUGAAAAAAAAAAAAUCAAAGCCUGCAUAGUCUUGUUCUUUUUACCUGAAUGUAAGUUAGAGGCUGUUACUUUUCUGAAACAAGUAGGAAUAGUUGAAGCUUUUCAGCUAAGGGGAAAAAGGAAAACUCAAAGAGGGAGAGUGAAAUAUUUUGCUAUUCAUAUCACUUUCUAGUAUAACACAGCAUGUAUCAUCAUGUUGUAAAGUAAUAAAAGAAAGAACAGCUUAGCUUCUAAACCUUGAAAUGAAAAAUUGCAAUUUCACUUGAAUGAUCUUGACAGUUGUUUCAGGACUGGCAAUCUUAGCGCAAGAAAUGAACUAAGAAUACUGACGUAAAACCACCAAGGAAGCCCUGAGUUUUGAAGGGAAAAUGAUAAGGCAAUCACAAGCAGCUCCUCAGAACUUAAAGCCAUUUUAAAUAGAAAGAGCUUAAAGGAUUAAUCUCUUAUACUGAAAUCCUGAAGUACAGUGGUAAUAAUUCUGGUAUGCACGGUCAUUAGAAUAAGAUUUCACAAGUAGCCCAAGGAAAUAAAUAUGUUAUGCAUCAUUUUUCAAAAAUCUCUCCAACUCUGAAAGUCAGCCAUAGAGUUGAGCCAUGAAAAAGAGCAAUAUUGAAAUGAUGAUGAAUCCUGAAAACUUCUGUGUUUUCUCCUUUUCGGUUUUGUUUUGUGAAAGAUUUGUACAGAGAGGUAGGAUCUAACUGAUUUAGCCAAGGGUAAAAUAAGCAGGUUACUACCAGGCAAAUCUUUGUCUGUUUUUUAGCACGGACAUAAAUGUAUAUAUAUAUACAUUUGACAGUGAAUCAGGUUUUAUAAAUAUCGUAUGAUAAAAGCUUUAAACUCAUAGCUGAUGUCAUACCAUACUUGUGUUCCCACUUUAAUAAUAGAAUUGUUAAUCUUAUUAAUAUCAAACUGAUCCCAUGCCAUCUUUAUUGUUUAUGAUAAAUGGACUUUGUAAAUGAUUUGUGUGUGGUACCCAUCUGUUUGGACCAGUUUUCAGAUAAUGCUAGCCAGCAUUCUUAUUAAUGCCCUAAAAAUUAAAAUCACUGGUGCUGCAUAUUUGUAGGCGGCAAAAAUUAAGAGCUGCAAAAUUGAUAAUGGCAAUCAGUGCUCUAGAAGAUAGCAAUCACAGUAUGAUUUAACAUCUGGAAAUUGAAGUUAAGGGGGAAAUCCCAUCAAAACACUGAGAAUCACAGAUUGGUCUGAGUUGGAAGGGACUUUAAUAGCCACCUGAUUCCAGCCCGACUGUUAUGGGCAGAAAGAUGGGGCAUUACAUCAUUCAGCAAAGGAUGUAGGAGCUUCUCCACAAGUUAAGUUCCUUAAGUCAUGACUGGAUGUCUUGCUGAAAGAUAUGCUGUAGUACAGCUACAAUUCUUUGGGCUUGAUUGAGGUUUUACUGUUUGAAACUCUAUGUUCUCCCAGCAGAAAAUCAGAGAAGAUGAUCAAAACAGUCUCUCGCCUUAAAACCUAUGAAUUGUUCUCAGAGCUGUUCCCUUCUGAGUUUCUUCUUACUACAUCUCUCUUGUGGGUUGUAUUACUUAAACACUCUGUAGUAGAGAAACAGCUACAUUACAUUGUUUUAGAUAUGGCAUGUGUAUAUAAAUGUACUUUGAUAUAGAUGUUUAGUGCUAUAUAGAAAUAAAAUGUAGUUUUACUGGAGUAUUUCCAAGAACACUGGUAUUUUUUUUUUCUGUGGCAAGAGGAAACGUGAUGGAACAAACUUACUUAAAUUGCUCUGUCUAAGAUCAGGUAUCAUAUACCUGUGUAGAUGAAGAAAUAGGGCCAUACUUUCUAGCCCAGCUAAGAUCUAUGCUGCUGUUUUCAAAUGUAUUGUGUCUUGGAAAGAGACGGGAAACUCAGGAGAGAAGGCUCCUUCUACAACAUGUUUCAUGAAAGGUGGUGUGGUCUGGGCCUUUCCCUUAGGAGAGGGUACCUCAAGCAAUUUCUUCCUGUCUUUUAAAUAAUUAGCCAGUUGAAGUGUGAACAUCUGUGCACAGUGAAGGAAUAAAUCACCACAGCAGCAGUUUUAUGAAUUCUUUAUAGUAUUCCAAUUUUCCGUCUGCUACACACUGCACAAUGGUAGAAAGUAUCUGCUUUAUUUCAAUGCCAGGAGUUGGCAACAUGCUCAAAACCAGUAAAAUUUAUUAGAAAACCAUCAUGGUGGAGAAAUAGCAGUCAUUUUUCAUCUAGUGCUAAGAAGUGAUGGAGUCAGGAUACAACUGACUUGAGUAGACUUUGGUUUUGUCCAUGGAGUUUUCCAUAGCACCAUUGCCUUUAGUGCUGUUUCAGUGGUUCAGCAGCCUGUCAGUACUUAACUUUACGUAGGCAAAUAUGUGCUGCUUUAUAAGCCAGUGCUGUUCCUCAGCACCAUGUCUAGUUGCACUUUUCAGCAUGUUCAGGCACACCUGGAACAGGGAUCAUGGUGCCCUUGGCUCCACUGAAAACACAGUGUCAUUGUCUCAACAAGAUGCUAUGAUGCCAGCAAAAGAUCAAUACCUUGAUGAGGAGCUGCUAGCUCAAAACCACGGUGAUAUUUCAUAGUUGGAACACUUUCCAAAGCAGUUCCCAUGGAGUGAAAUUCUAGCGACCUGAUUUGUCUCUCUGCUGAGCAAUUGAGUUGAUUCAUCUGUAACAACGUCUGCCAGCCUCAGAUAACAAGAAAAAUUGCACCGUCUAUCCGUGUUAGUUUUCAAUCUUUCAGGUAUUUCAAUAGUAUAUUUGCAAAAGAAGUGUUUCAAAUCCAAACAAUUAAUUCAGUGGGGAAGAGAGGAAAGGGCUUUAGCUGUUUCUUGCUGUUAAUUCCAGACAAGUCUUACAUUUAGUCCCCCAUCGUAUGACUGCAUGUACUUGGAAGCUCUGUGCUGCAGUGUGAAGGCUUGCAGCCUCCCAGGAGGUGUGUUUAAAGCCCACUGUGCUCCAGCCCUCCAUUCAGCUGCAAUGCCUACAUGCCAUGCCCACCUCUCCCUGACUGGGACAGGCCAGGACAGCCGUGUGCCUCCAUGUCUCAGUGUGGUGAGAAGCCAAGAGCUGAGCUGAAGGGAUCUUCACUGCAGCAAGCUCAGCUCUCGGCUGGGAAACGAGUCUGAGAGGAGAUUAGAGUUGUUCAGAGUGCUAAAGCAGCAUCAUUUUGGAUGUCAGUACAUAGUAGUCAAGGAUUAUGCAACUUGAGUAAAAUUGAUUAAAAGGGGUUCGUCAAACUGUUUGGACUGUUUGUGUCCUCUUGUGCAGAGUUGGCUUCAGCAGAAGUUGGCCCACAUCCUAGAUCAUCCAAUUUGAGAAUUUAGGUACCCAAAGGCAGUUACUUCUGUAAAGUUGUUUCCUUUUGUUACUGAGGAAGAAAAUAAUGACUCCAAUAAGUUUCAAUAUAAAAAAGAUUGAAAAGAGAGGGUUCAGCAUCCCUUCAUGUUCUGCUGACAUGUAUGCCGCUUUUGACGUUAUUUGUCUGCUUAUACUCUGGUUGAUAAAACCACAGUACUUAGUGCAGUUUUGAACUAAUUUCAAUUGUUACAGUAGAAGUUGCUUAUUGAUGUUAUCAUAGGAAGUAUAUAUCCCUUGACAAGAGGCAAGCUCAACAAUGUCAAGCUUCUAUCAAAUUUCUUCAGCUCAAAUUUAUCAAAAAUGUUCCCUGUUUCAUCCUUGUGUUCUGCGGCGCUGAAUAGCUUGAAGAGUUCACAAACAUUCUAGAUUAACUUUUAUCUUAACUUUUAUUAACAAUCCUCUCUAACUUUUUUCUUUAAACCCAAACAAAGCAGAACCCACUUUUCAUAUGGAAAGAUUGGGUUCUCCACUUCUGUGGUGCAAGAGCAGCCUGAGCAUUCACUUCACCUUAAGAGAAUUGCUCAGUGUUAGUUUGCUAUUUUGUUUA